GAUGAACGCUGGCGGCGUGCCUAAUACAUGCAAGUCGAGCGAUGAAGAUUGGUGCUUGCUCCAAUUUGAAGAGCAGCGAACGGGUGAGUAACGCGUGGAGAAUCUGCCUUUGAGCGGGGGACAACAUCUGGAAACGAAUGCUAAUACCGCAUAAUAACUUUAAACAUAUGUUUCAAGUGUGAAAGAUGCAAUUGCUUCACUCAAAGAUGAUCUCGCGUUGUAUUAGCUAGGUGGUGAGGUAAAGGCCCACCAAGGCGAAGAUACAUAGCCGGCCUGGAGAGGUGGACCGGCACCAUUGGAACGGGACAACGCCCAAGCUCCCUCCGGAAGGCACAAGAAGGGAACUUUGGCCAUGGGGGGAAAGCCUGACGGAGCACGCCGGCGGGGGUAAUGAAGGUUUCGGGUCCGAAAACUCUUUUUGUUGGGAAGGAAGAUAGGUAGAGUGAAAAGCGCAUGAAGUGACGGUAACUACCCAGAAAGCGACGGCUAACUACGUG
Molecule: ribosomal RNA, 497 nt
Filed under: uncultured bacterium
Lineage: Bacteria
Description: partial 16S ribosomal RNA
Rfam family: Bacterial small subunit ribosomal RNA
Source: RNAcentral